This 465-nucleotide ribosomal RNA is filed under the name uncultured bacterium. RNAcentral describes it as "bacterial SSU rRNA". It matches the Rfam family "Bacterial small subunit ribosomal RNA", at positions 32 to 507 of the family's 1533-position model. The record is from RNAcentral.
AAUCAACGCUGGCGGCGUGCCUCAGACAUGCAAGUCGAACGAUUAAAGCUCUCUUCGGAGAGUGUAUAGAGUGGCGCACGGGUGAGUAACACGUAAGUAAUCUACCCUCGAGUGGGGAAUAACAACCGGAAACGGUUGCUAAUACCGCAUAAUGCAGCGGCACCGCAAGGUGACAGUUGUUAAAGAUUUAUCGCUUGAGGAGGAGCUUGCGGCAGAUUAGCUAGUUGGUAGGGUAACGGCUUACCAAGGCUACGAUCUGUAACCGGUCUAAGAGGACGGUCGGUCACACUGACACUGAAUAACGGGUCAGACUCCUACGGGAGGCAGCAGUCGGGAAUUUUGGGCAAUGGGCGAAAGCCUGACCCAGCAACGCCGCGUGAAGGAUGAAGUAUUUCGGUAUGUAAACUUCGAAAGAAUGGGAAGAAUUAAUGACGGUACUAUUUAUAAGGUCCGGCUAACUACGUG